This 253-nucleotide ribosomal RNA is filed under the name uncultured bacterium. RNAcentral's name for it is "partial 16S ribosomal RNA". It matches the Rfam family "Bacterial small subunit ribosomal RNA", at positions 524 to 776 of the family's 1533-position model. The record is from RNAcentral.
UACGUAGGGUGCGAGCGUUAAUCGGAAUUACUGGGCGUAAAGUGUGCGCAGGCGGCGUUGCAAGUCGAGUGUGAAAUCCCCGAGCUUAACUUGGGAAUUGCGCUCGAAACUACGAUGCUCGAGUGUGGCAGAGGAAGGUGGAAUUCCACGUGUAGCGGUGAAAUGCGUAGAGAUGUGGAGGAGCACCGAUGGCGAAGGCAGCCUUCUGGGCCAACACUGACGCUCAUGCACGAAAGCGUGGGGAGCGAACAGG